AGAGUUUGAUCCUGGCUCAGAUUGAACGCUGGCGGCAGGCCUAACACAUGCAAGUCGAGCGGUAGAGAGAAGCUUGCUUCUCUUGAGAGCGGCGGACGGGUGAGUAAUGCCUAGGAAUCUGCCUGGUAGUGGGGGAUAACGUUCGGAAACGGACGCUAAUACCGCAUACGUCCUACGGGAGAAAGCAGGGGACCUUCGGGCCUUGCGCUAUCAGAUGAGCCUAGGUCGGAUUAGCUAGUUGGUGAGGUAAUGGCUCACCAAGGCGACGAUCCGUAACUGGUCUGAGAGGAUGAUCAGUCACACUGGAACUGAGACACGGUCCAGACUCCUACGGGAGGCAGCAGUGGGGAAUAUUGGACAAUGGGCGAAAGCCUGAUCCAGCCAUGCCGCGUGUGUGAAGAAGGUCUUC
This 409-nucleotide ribosomal RNA is filed under the name uncultured bacterium. RNAcentral's name for it is "bacterial SSU rRNA". It matches the Rfam family "Bacterial small subunit ribosomal RNA", at positions 8 to 419 of the family's 1533-position model. The record is from RNAcentral.